AUGUAAAUCUAGUGAUUGCAAGUUUUAAUUUGAAAUAGAGUUAUCUUAGUAUUAAUAUGCUUUGUCAAUACUAAACUGUCCAGUAAAAAUAUAGUCUAAUAUAUUUGGUGUUCAAGUUGAGAACUAAGGCCAUAAAAUGCAAUGCUUUCCAUUUAUUUGUUUUAAAAUAAAGAUCAAAGGAAAUUGAGAGAUGUUUUCAGAAUAGAAUGCUAUUAUCUGAGCUAAUGAAUCAAAGGUAUAUGUAUUACUCUCCAACCCACCAAGACGUUAAUUCCUAAUUUACUUACGUGUAUUUUAAAAACGUAGCUUGCUUAAAAUUAUUUUAGGAGGGAAAAUUAUUGGGACCUCAGUAAAGGAAAGACAGAUUAUUCUCAUUACUGUCAUCUUGUUCCUUAAUCUCUUGAUUAAUGAUCACUGAGAAAAAAAAGUCAAUAAAAUGUUGCUUGUAACAAUCCUACUGACUUUAGGGUGCAAGCAUCAUGUGUGCCUUUUAUUCCACUACGGGGACUUACCACCCAGAUCGUACUUCCUGAAUACUCUAGUGGAACUGGAUUAUUAACUUUAUUACACAGGGAACAAGAGACAAGAGGAAUGGGAUAUGGGUGAAACCAUAGACUGAGAUAUAGGUCAUUGUCAUGAUUCUAGUUUUUAUUUGGGAAGGG
Molecule: long non-coding RNA, 662 nt
Filed under: Homo sapiens (human)
Lineage: Eukaryota; Metazoa; Chordata; Mammalia; Primates; Hominidae
Description: HSALNT0213678
Source: RNAcentral